Molecule: ribosomal RNA, 619 nt
Filed under: Ammonia sp. genotype T2
Lineage: Eukaryota; Foraminifera; Rotaliida; Rotaliidae
Description: partial large subunit ribosomal RNA
Rfam family: Eukaryotic large subunit ribosomal RNA
Source: RNAcentral
UCAGUCAGCGCAGCGUAAUAAUAGAAACUAACCAGGAUUCCCUUAGUAACGGCGAGUGAACUGGGAUGCCAAUAUAUAAUAUGUACCUCAUGUGCAUAAAUUAGCCCGUCGAUACUAUCCUAGCGUAUGUCACCGGUCUUCGGGUCGGUACUCAAAUACGCGGGAAUUGUAGCAUCGUAAUAAUUAAAAAUAUACAGCACACACACACACACACACACAUAAGAACCCACGCCAACCUGCGUACAACUUGUAAACACACAGCGUCUCCGCGUUGGAAAGCAAGUAUAUAUCCUCUUUGGAUAUGCCAUAGAGUGUGACAGCCACGUUUCACCCAUAUGAGUACGCACACACAUAUAUCAAUGGCGCGGCGUGCGAGUGCACAACGUAUAUAUACUAUAACCUGAGUCGAGUUAUUUGGGACUAUAGCUCUAAUAGUUUGGUUGGUGGUAAUGACACAUCAAAGGCUAAAUAUUGGUUAGUCGAUGCAUAUUGCGGAGACCGAUAGCAUACAAGUACCGUAAGGGAACGAUGAAAAGCACCCUAUUGAGUUCACGGCGCAGACUCGACAUUCGUGUCUUGUCCAGCGCCCGACAACUACAGUGGGAGUGAAAGAGAGAGU